GACGAACGCUGGCGGCGUGCCUAAUACAUGCAAGUAGAACGCUGAAGGAGGAGCUUGCUUCUCUGGAUGAGUUGCGAACGGGUGAGUAACGCGUAGGUAACCUGCCUGGUAGCGGGGGAUAACUAUUGGAAACGAUAGCUAAUACCGCAUAAGAGUAGAUGUCGCAUGACAUUUGCUUAAAGGGUGCAAUUGCAUCACUACCAGAUGGACCUGCGUUGUAUUGGCUAGUUGGUGAGGUAACGGCUCACCAAGGCAACGAUACAUAGCCGACCUGAGAGGGUGAUCGGCCACACUGGGACUGAGACACGGCCCAGACUCCUACGGGAGGCAGCAGUAGGGAAUCUUCGGCAAUGGACGGAAGUCUGACCGAGCAACGCCGCGUGAGUGAAGAAGGUUUUCGGAUCGUAAAGCUCUGUUGUAAGAGAAGAACGAGUGUGAGAGUGGAAAGUUCACACUGUGACGGUAUCUUACCAGAAAGGGACGGCUAACUACGUG
RNAcentral lists this ribosomal RNA (495 nucleotides) under uncultured bacterium. RNAcentral describes it as "partial 16S ribosomal RNA". It matches the Rfam family "Bacterial small subunit ribosomal RNA", at positions 28 to 507 of the family's 1533-position model. The record is from RNAcentral.